RNAcentral lists this ribosomal RNA (253 nucleotides) under uncultured bacterium. Its description in RNAcentral is "partial 16S ribosomal RNA". It matches the Rfam family "Bacterial small subunit ribosomal RNA", at positions 524 to 776 of the family's 1533-position model. The record is from RNAcentral.
UACGUAGGGGGCAAGCGUUGUCCGGAUUUAUUGGGCGUAAAGAGCGUGUAGGCGGCCUGAAGGGUCAGCUGUGAAAACUCGAGGCUCAACCUCGAGACGCCGGUUGAAACCAUCUGGCUAGAGUCCGGAAGAGGAGUGUGGAAUUCCCGGUGUAGCGGUGAAAUGCGCAGAUAUCGGGAAGAACACCCGUGGCGAAGGCGGCACUCUGGGACGGUACUGACGCUGAGACGCGAAAGCGUGGGGAGCGAACAGG